CACGUAGUUAGCCGUGACUUCCUCGAAGGGUAAUAUCAAUCGGAGACCAUUUCCUCUCUCCGCUCUUUUUCCCCUUCAACAGAACUUUACGAUCCGAAGACCUUCCUCGUUCACGCGGCAUUGCUCGUUCAGGCUUGCGCCCAUUGACGAAAAUUCCCUACUGCUGCCUCCCGUAGGAGUCUGGGCCGUGUCUCAGUCCCAGUGUGGCCGUCCGCCCUCUCAGGCCGGCUAUGCAUCGUCGCCUUGGUGGGCCGUUACCUCACCAACCAGCUAAUGCACCGCAGGUCCAUCCGUGCGCGGAGCCUUGCAGCUCCUUUAACACAGAGUCGAUGCCGUCUCUGUCCCUAUCCGGUAUCAGCUUCCGUUUCCGAAAGUUCUCCCCGGUCGCACGGGCAGGUUCCCUACGUGUUACUCACCCGUUCGCCACUCGAGUUCCCCGAAGGACCCCUCGUUCCGACUUGCAUGUAUUAGGCAUGCCGCCAGCGUUCAUCCUGAGCCAGGACUCAAACUCUCUACG
RNAcentral lists this ribosomal RNA (517 nucleotides) under uncultured Erysipelotrichaceae bacterium. Its description in RNAcentral is "partial 16S ribosomal RNA". The record is from RNAcentral. Lineage: Bacteria; Bacillati; Bacillota; Erysipelotrichia; Erysipelotrichales; Erysipelotrichaceae.